GCAGUGUGUCGGCUUGUCGCUGGCGUGUCUCUCGGGGCACGCGAGAGGAAAGUCCGGGCAGCAUAAGGCGCUCCACUGGCGAAAAUACCAGUUGUCGGCGACGGCAAGUGACGGUAGAAGAAAACAACCGCCCGUCUUCUUCCGAGGCGGGUAAGGGUGAGAAGGUGGUGUAAGAGACCACCGGCCGCCGGGCGAUCGGCGGGCCGUACCGGCUGGAGGCUGCAAGUUCGCGUAUACCAUCGACAGAGGGUAGCCUGCCCGAGGGGUUGGGGCACCUGUUGCUUCAGCCUGCGAUGGAGGGUAGAACGCUGGAGCCGUAGGGCAACCUGCGGUGUAGAUAAAUGACAAGCACCGCCACAAGGGGCAAUCCCUGUGGCGGUACAGAACCCGGCUUACAGACACACUGCAAGC
Molecule: RNase P RNA, 411 nt
Filed under: Bacteroidaceae bacterium
Lineage: Bacteria; Pseudomonadati; Bacteroidota; Bacteroidia; Bacteroidales; Bacteroidaceae
Description: RNase P RNA component class A
Rfam family: Bacterial RNase P class A
About the family: Ribonuclease P (RNase P) is a ubiquitous endoribonuclease, found in archaea, bacteria and eukarya as well as chloroplasts and mitochondria. Its best characterised activity is the generation of mature 5'-ends of tRNAs by cleaving the 5'-leader elements of precursor-tRNAs.
Source: RNAcentral